RNAcentral lists this ribosomal RNA (459 nucleotides) under uncultured bacterium. Its description in RNAcentral is "partial 16S ribosomal RNA". It matches the Rfam family "Bacterial small subunit ribosomal RNA", at positions 338 to 795 of the family's 1533-position model. The record is from RNAcentral.
CCUACGGGAGGCAGCAGUGAGGAAUAUUGGUCAAUGGCCGCAGGGCUGAACCAGCCAAGUCGCGUGAGGGAUGACGGUCCUAUGGAUUGUAAACCUCUUUUGUCAGGGAGCAAAGGGCGCCACGUGUGGCGCUUUGCGAGUACCUGAAGAAAAAGCAUCGGCUAACUCCGUGCCAGCAGCCGCGGUAAUACGGAGGAUGCGAGCGUUAUCCGGAUUUAUUGGGUUUAAAGGGUGCGCAGGCGGAAUGUCAAGUCAGCGGUAAAAUUUCGGGGCUCAACCCCGUCGUGCCGUUGAAACUGGCGUUCUUGAGUGAGCGAGAAGUAUGCGGAAUGCGUGGUGUAGCGGUGAAAUGCAUAGAUAUCACGCAGAACUCCGAUUGCGAAGGCAGCAUACCGGCGCUCAACUGACGCUCAUGCACGAAAGCGUGGGUAUCGAACAGGAUUAGAUACCCCAGUAGUA